GUAUCAUUUUAUUGUUUGUGAUGAUGAUAUUAUCUACAGAGAUGAUAUUACUAUAUACAUAAAGAAGAUAACUUGCACAGAAGACAAAUAAAAAUGCAUCCGCAAGAAGGGUUAACGAAACCAGCAUGAAUGAAGAAGUUGCGCAGGUCAUACCUUUUUUCAACAAAAGAAAAAUAACUUCAUUCAGAAAUAUGAUUUACAAAGAAUUGUUUUUAGUGUUCGGUAAAGUUCAAUCGUAUGACUCAUUCUACUUCUUUUCCCCAUCCCACUCUC
Molecule: long non-coding RNA, 273 nt
Filed under: Brassica napus (rape)
Lineage: Eukaryota; Viridiplantae; Streptophyta; Magnoliopsida; Brassicales; Brassicaceae
Description: long non-coding RNA (BNAP_LNC026798)
Source: RNAcentral